CAGUAGCCGCGGUAAAACGGAGGGUGCAAGCGUUAAUCGGAAUUACUGGGCGUAAAGCGCACGCAGGCGGUCUGACAAGUCAGAUGUGAAAUCCCCGGGCUUAACCUGGGAACUGCAUUUGAAACUGUCAGGCUGGAGUCUUGUAGAGGGGGGUAGAAUUCCAGGUGUAGCGGUGAAAUGCGUAGAGAUCUGGAGGAAUACCGGUGGCGAAGGCGGCCCCCUGGACAAAGACUGACGCUCAGGUGCGAAAGCGUGGGGAGCAAACAGGAUUAGAUACCCCUGUAGUCCCUGUCUCUUAUAA
RNAcentral lists this ribosomal RNA (301 nucleotides) under uncultured bacterium. Its description in RNAcentral is "partial 16S ribosomal RNA". It matches the Rfam family "Bacterial small subunit ribosomal RNA", at positions 509 to 809 of the family's 1533-position model. The record is from RNAcentral.